This is a small nuclear RNA of Choloepus hoffmanni (Hoffmann's two-fingered sloth), 108 nucleotides long. NCBI's taxonomy places the organism in Eukaryota, Metazoa, Chordata, Mammalia, Pilosa, Megalonychidae. The record is from Ensembl.
GUGCUCACUUUGGCAGCAUAUAUUCUAAGAAUUGGAACGAUACAGAGAAAAUUAGCAUGGUCCCUGUGCAAGGAAGACACAUAAAUUCUUGAAUCGUUCCAUAUUUUA